This 529-nucleotide ribosomal RNA is filed under the name uncultured bacterium. Its description in RNAcentral is "bacterial SSU rRNA". It matches the Rfam family "Bacterial small subunit ribosomal RNA", at positions 777 to 1304 of the family's 1533-position model. The record is from RNAcentral.
AAUAGAUACCCAGGUAGUCCACGCCGUAAACGAUGAGUGCUAAGUGUUAGAGGGUUUCCGCCCUUUAGUGCUGCAGCUAACGCAUUAAGCACUCCGCCUGGGGAGUACGGCCGCAAGGCUGAAACUCAAAGGAAUUGACGGGGGCCCGCACAAGCGGUGGAGGAUGUGGUUUAAUUCGAAGCAACGCGAAGAACCUUACCAGGUCUUGACAUCCUCUGCCAACCCUAGAGAUAGGGCGUUCCCCUUUGGGGGACAGAGUGACAGGUGGUGCAUGGUUGUCGUCAGCUCGUGUCGUGAGAUGUUGGGUUAAGUCCCGCAACGAGCGCAACCCUUGAUCUUAGUUGCCAGCAUUCAGUUGGGCACUCUAAGGUGACUGCCGGUGACAAACCGGAGGAAGGUGGGGAUGACGUCAAAUCAUCAUGCCCCUUAUGACCUGGGCUACACACGUGCUACAAUGGAUGGUACAAAGAGCUGCGAACCCGCGAGGGUAAGCGAAUCUCAUAAAGCCAUUCUCAGUUCGGAUUGUAGG